AUUGAACGCUGGCGGCAUGCCUUACACAUGCAAGUCGAACGGCAGCACGGGUGCUUGCACCUGGUGGCGAGUGGCGAACGGGUGAGUAAUACAUCGGAACAUGUCCUGUAGUGGGGGAUAGCCCGGCGAAAGCCGGAUUAAUACCGCAUACGAUCUACGGAUGAAAGCGGGGGACCUUCGGGCCUCGCGCUAUAGGGUUGGCCGAUGGCUGAUUAGCUAGUUGGUGGGGUAAAGGCCUACCAAGGCGACGAUCAGUAGCUGGUCUGAGAGGACGACCAGCCACACUGGGACUGAGACACGGCCCAGACUCCUACGGGAGGCAGCAGUGGGGAAUUUUGGACAAUGGGCGAAGGCCUGAUCCAGCAAUGCCGCGUGUGUGAAGAAGGCCUUCGGGUUGUAAAGCACUUUUGUCCGGAAAGAAAUCCUUGGCCCUAAUACGGUCGGGGGAUGACGGUACCGGAAGAAUAAGCACCAGCUAACUACGUG
This 486-nucleotide ribosomal RNA is filed under the name uncultured bacterium. Its description in RNAcentral is "partial 16S ribosomal RNA". It matches the Rfam family "Bacterial small subunit ribosomal RNA", at positions 30 to 507 of the family's 1533-position model. The record is from RNAcentral.